GGCCUGGGGCUGAGUGGCAGAGCACUCGCUUAGCAUGUGUGAGGCUCUGAGUUCAAUCCUCAGCACCA
RNAcentral lists this transfer RNA (68 nucleotides) under Marmota monax (woodchuck). RNAcentral's name for it is "tRNA.Ala". Lineage: Eukaryota; Metazoa; Chordata; Mammalia; Rodentia; Sciuridae. The record is from RNAcentral.